GUUCGAUCCUCAGCACCAUAUAAAAAUAAAAAAAUAAAGAUGUUGUGUCCACCUAAAACUAAAAAUAAAUAAAUAAAUAUUUAAAAAAUUAUCUCUCUCUUUAAAAAAAAGUUAUCAUAUUCUUUUCCAAUAUUUGAGAAAACAUUAUUCAGUAUUACAACACUUAAUAAUUUGUAGAAACAUACUUUCUACAUAAAGGCAUAAAAAUUGAUCAACUUUUUCUCCUACUAUAGUGGAAUGUGUGUGUUUAUUUAUGGACAGAUUUUUUUUAUAUAUUUUUUUAGCUUGGAUGCUAAGCUUCUUUCAAUCAGUGUACACAAAACCAAAUUUACUGCUUUAUCUAAGUGGCAAAUUAGAAUAGAUUAUGAAACACAUAGAGUUCAGAUAGUUAGGUUACUAAUGCUAAAAGAUUACUACCAAUAGUCAAUUAUUCCAAGAAAUUAAUGGUUCUGUUUGUUGAGAUAUCAUCAGAAACUACCAUGACAAUAGAGGAUUACUUCUCAAGAGGUCAGACUCAAGUGUGACAAGAUAAUAGGAACAUGGAAACAGUGGCAGCAGCCUCGGAGGACUUUUUUAAAAUGUUAAAGUCACCUGAAGGAAAAGGAUGGAAGAUAAUGUUUUCUACAGUCAGCUCUAUAUACGAAAUAAAAAGUAAUCAGCCUAUUUCAGUAGUUCUUGGGCUUUUGGGAUUAGAAUCACCACCCCUGACGGUGAUUGCCACAUGAUAACAUCAGCAGUAUAACCACGUCCCAGAGCCUACAGAAGCAGUGAUGACUGAGGAGUCAUCACUGAAUUCAAGCAGUGACUCUCUAGUACUGGGCCUCUACUUACAAAUCACUGAUGAUUGCAGAUAAAUACCUUCUUAAAUACUCAAUUGUCAAAGAUCAGAAUUUACCAAGUAACCCCUCUAUGUUACUUUGAAGCUGGCAUGGAAACAUACCAACCAGUUUUUACCUCUUUCUUUCAUCAAGUCCUAACCUGCUCCAGUGCAAACUGUAGAAACCCUUUUUGCUCCAUUUCCCUUCUGACAGACAUUGCAGUGACCAUAUGUAUCUUUAGUUAAAUCCAACUAACUAAAGCAGCACACCUGG
Molecule: long non-coding RNA, 1091 nt
Filed under: Marmota monax (woodchuck)
Lineage: Eukaryota; Metazoa; Chordata; Mammalia; Rodentia; Sciuridae
Source: RNAcentral